GCACUACUGAGGAGUCCCGCAAUAGGACGAGACGGCUGUCCAGUGC
This 46-nucleotide non-coding RNA is filed under the name Schistosoma margrebowiei. The record is from RNAcentral. Lineage: Eukaryota; Metazoa; Platyhelminthes; Trematoda; Strigeidida; Schistosomatidae.